AAUGAUCUAGAUGGUCGCCAUGCCCGGGCUGGAAAAGAGGGACACGUGGUGGGAGUCCUCACAAAACAUGUGUUUAUGAACAUUGAAUUUUCAACAUCAUUACAGCUUGAGAACCUAAGUGAUAGGCUUUUUCCCGCUUUCGGAUCGAACCUGGAAUGGAAGAACCCAAUCACAAAUCAUGGAUUGCCAAAGAUUCUCCGAUACUACUAGACUAAUCUUAUCUUCUUUGUGACUCAAUGUUGGAGACCUG
Molecule: long non-coding RNA, 250 nt
Filed under: Vitis vinifera (wine grape)
Lineage: Eukaryota; Viridiplantae; Streptophyta; Magnoliopsida; Vitales; Vitaceae
Description: long non-coding RNA (VVIN_LNC003129)
Source: RNAcentral